RNAcentral lists this ribosomal RNA (485 nucleotides) under uncultured bacterium. RNAcentral's name for it is "partial 16S ribosomal RNA". It matches the Rfam family "Bacterial small subunit ribosomal RNA", at positions 29 to 523 of the family's 1533-position model. The record is from RNAcentral.
AGUGAACGCUGGCGGCGUGCUUAACACAUGCAAGUCGAACGAGAACGGAAUAUAGCUUGCUAUAUUUGUCAGCUAAGUGGCGCACGGGUGAGUAAUGUAUAGAUAACCUGCCCUUAAGAAAGGAAUAACAGUUGGAAACGACUGCUAAUGCCCUAUAUGCCUUUAAUACAUAAGUAUGCAAGGGAAACGCUUUAGUGCUUAAGGAUGGGUCUGUAUGGUAUCAGCUUAUUGGUGAGGUAAUGGCUCACCAAGGCUAUGACGCCUAACUGGUUUGAGAGGAUGAUCAGUCACACUGGAACUGAGACACGGUCCAGACUCCGACGGGAGGCAGCAGUGGGGAAUAUUGCACAAUGGACGAAAGUCUGAUGCAGCAACGCCGCGUGGAGGAUGACACAUUUCGGUGCGUAAACUCCUUUUAUAUAGGAAGAUAAUGACGGUACUAUAUGAAUAAGCACCGGCUAACUCCGUGCCAGCAGCCGCCGUAA